RNAcentral lists this ribosomal RNA (542 nucleotides) under uncultured Glomeromycotina. Its description in RNAcentral is "SSU rRNA". It matches the Rfam family "Eukaryotic small subunit ribosomal RNA", at positions 555 to 1098 of the family's 1831-position model. Lineage: Eukaryota; Fungi; Glomeromycota. The record is from RNAcentral.
GCAAGUCUGGUGCCAGCAGCCGCGGUAAUUCCAGCUCCAAUAGCGUAUAUUAAAGUUGUUGCAGUUAAAAAGCUCGUAGUUGAAUUUCGAGAUCAGUACGCUGGUCGUGCCUUCGGUAUGCACUGGUGUCACUGGUUUCUCCCUUCUGAAGAACCGUCAUGCCAUUCAGUUGGUGUGGCGGGGAAUCAGGACUGUUACUUUGAAAAAAUUAGAGUGUUUAAAGCAGGCUCGCGCUUGAAUACAUUAGCAUGGAAUAAUGAAAUAGGACGUUUGACCCUAUUUUGUUGGUUUCUAGGAUCGACGUAAUGAUUAAUAGGGAUAGUUGGGGGCAUUAGUAUUCAAUUGUCAGAGGUGAAAUUCUUGGAUUUAUUGAAGACUAACUACUGCGAAAGCAUUUGCCAAGGAUGUUUUCAUUAAUCAAGAACGAAAGUUAGGGGAUCGAAGACGAUCAGAUACCGUCGUAGUCUUAACCAUAAACUAUGCCGACUAGGGAUCGGAUGAUGUUAAUUUUUUAAUGACUCAUUCGGCGCCUUACGGGAAAC